This 305-nucleotide ribosomal RNA is filed under the name uncultured bacterium. Its description in RNAcentral is "bacterial SSU rRNA". It matches the Rfam family "Bacterial small subunit ribosomal RNA", at positions 337 to 640 of the family's 1533-position model. The record is from RNAcentral.
ACCUACGGGGGGCAGCAGUGAGGAAUAUUGGUCAAUGGCCGGAAGGCUGAACCAGCCAAGCCGCGUGAAGGACGAAGGUGCCAAGCAUUGUAAACUUCUUUUGUCAAGGGACAAAAUCAGGCUCGAGAGCCUGACCGAGGGUACUUGAAGAAAAAGCAUCGGCUAACUCCGUGCCAGCAGCCGCGGUAAUACGGAGGAUGCGAGCGUUAUCCGGAUUUAUUGGGUUUAAAGGGUGCGUAGGCGGACUGUUAAGUCAGCGGUAAAAGACCGGGGCUCAACCCCGGUGAGCCGUUGAAACUGGAUGU